CCUACGGGCGGCAGCAGUGGGGAAUAUUGCGCAAUGGGCGAAAGCCUGACGCAGCGACGCCGCGUGAGGGAUGAAGGUCUUCGGAUCGUAAACCUCUGUCAGCAGGGAAGAACGGUCACUGUGCUAAUCAGCAGUGAAUUGACGGUAACUGCAAAGGAAGCACCGGCUAACUCAGUGCCAGCAGCCGCGGUAAUACGGAGGGUGCGAGCGUUAAUCGGAAUUACUGGGCGUAAAGCGCUCGUAGGCGGUAUGGCAAGGCAAGGGGGAAAUCCCCGCGCGCAACGUGGGAACUGCCUUUGAAACUGGCAAACUGGAGUGUGUGAGAGGAUAGUGGAAUUCCAGGUGUAGGGGUGAAAUCCGUAGAUAUCUGGAGGAACAUCAGUGGCGAAGGCGACUAUCUGGCACAUAACUGACGCUGAGGAGCGAAGGCGUGGGUAGCAAACAGGAUUAGAUACCCCAGUAGUC
This 465-nucleotide ribosomal RNA is filed under the name uncultured bacterium. Its description in RNAcentral is "partial 16S ribosomal RNA". It matches the Rfam family "Bacterial small subunit ribosomal RNA", at positions 338 to 795 of the family's 1533-position model. The record is from RNAcentral.